This 480-nucleotide ribosomal RNA is filed under the name uncultured bacterium. Its description in RNAcentral is "partial 16S ribosomal RNA". It matches the Rfam family "Bacterial small subunit ribosomal RNA", at positions 28 to 506 of the family's 1533-position model. The record is from RNAcentral.
GACGAACGUUGGCGGCGUGCUUAAUACAUGCAAGUCAACUGAAGCAGUGGUAGCAAUAUCGCUGUGGAGGUGGCGCACGGGUGAGUAACACGUAGGUAAUCUGCCUUCAGGUCUGGCAUAACUCCGGGAAACCGGGGCUAAUAGCAGAUGAUGCAGCGGCUCGACAUCGAGACAGUUGUUAAAGCUAUGGCGCCUGAAGAUGAGCCUGCGUCUGAUUAGCUAGUUGGCGGGGUAACGGCCCACCAAGGCAACGAUCAGUAGCUGGUCUGAGAGGAUGAUCAGCCACACUGGAACUGAGACACGGUCCAGACUCCUACGGGAGGCAGCAGUAAGGAAUAUUGCUCAAUGGGAGAAAUCCUGAAGCAGCAACGCCGCGUGAGGGACGAAGGGCUUCUGCUUGUAAACCUCUGUAGUGAGAGAAAAAAAUCCCAAUCUUUGGGACAUGAUGGUAUCUCAAAAGUAAGCCCCGGCUAACUACGU